This 564-nucleotide unclassified non-coding RNA is filed under the name Hevea brasiliensis (rubber tree). The record is from RNAcentral. Lineage: Eukaryota; Viridiplantae; Streptophyta; Magnoliopsida; Malpighiales; Euphorbiaceae.
CGCGAACAAAAACGACGAGCCUACUUCUCAAAUUUAACGAGAAAGAACUCUAUUCUUAAGGAAAAAAAAAGGGGCUAAUUCUACACUCAUUGCUGCUCCAUCGCUUCUCAACAUUGAAAUUCCGACCCCAUAAUCACUACAUCUUUCGCAGGCAGACCCUCUCCUUUUCUCUUCAGAGAGGAACAGGGCUUUGCUUUGCAGAUCAGAUCCAAAUCCUGCGAUCUGUGUUCCACGUGCACUGAGAAUCGUCAGUUUGGAUACUUAGGAAGAGCUAAAGGAUGGGUAUUUUGUUUACUAAAAUGUUCUCUUCGCUCUUUGGCAACAAAGAGGCCCGGAUCCUUGUUCUCGGACUCGAUAAUGCUGGCAAAACCACGAUUCUCUAUCGGCUUCAGAUGGGUGAAGUUGUGUCCACAAUUCCAACAAUUGGAUUUAACGUCGAAACAGUGCAGUACAACAAUAUCAAAUUUCAAGUGUGGGAUCUUGGUGGACAAACAAGUAUCAGACCCUAUUGGAGAUGUUAUUUUCCUAACACUCAAGCCAUAAUUUAUGUUGUUGAUUCAAGUG